UACGUAGGGUGCGAGCGUUAAUCGGAAUUACUGGGCGUAAAGGGCGCGUAGGCGGUCAGCACAAGUCAGUUGUGAAAUCUCCGGGCUUAACUCGGAAAGGUCAACUGAUACUGUGCGACUAGAGUGCAGAAGGGGCAACUGGAAUUCUCGGUGUAGCGGUGAAAUGCGUAGAUAUCGAGAGGAACACCUGCGGCGAAGGCGGGUUGCUGGGCUGACACUGACGCUGAGGCGCGAAAGCCAGGGGAGCGAACGGG
RNAcentral lists this ribosomal RNA (254 nucleotides) under uncultured bacterium. Its description in RNAcentral is "partial 16S ribosomal RNA". It matches the Rfam family "Bacterial small subunit ribosomal RNA", at positions 524 to 776 of the family's 1533-position model. The record is from RNAcentral.